GCAGAUCGUAUCCCGCUGCGUCACACAUCGCACUAAAAACUUGUUUUAUGCCAUGACAGUAGCUUGAAAUAAUACGCAAGGAGUCUGAACGCUGCUGAAAGGAGUUUAACAUGCUUUUGGGGAUCCAGGACGCUAUACAGACAUGAUUUACGAUCCGUUGGCUGACGGACCACCAGGCUUUGGUGAUUUCCGCUCAAAUUCGACAGCCGACUCCUGAGAACCGAGGCCACAGUGUUUUAUGACGUCUUCACUGUAUCGUCUCCUGCUCCAAAACAAACGGCAGAAACAUGAACUGAAAUCAAAUCUGCGAUGAAAAUCCUCUUACAUAUGAGGAUUCUAGAAGCUUCCAAAGGGCAGAUGCCAGCCGCUGUUGCCGUUGGUUACCAUAGGGCACCACUUUACAGACCAUAAACCUCCAGUGCAUGAAUGCACUCGACAAAACACAGCAAACUUUGAACAAGAAAUGUCUGGAAUUCAUGAGGAAGAUAAACUUUGUGUCAUAAAAGUAAAUGUCUUGAUUUAGUAGCCGUCUUUAUAGCAAAGAAACCUCUAGAAUGAGCGGGAGGGAAUAAAUCUGCUGAGAGACCAAUUCAAACAGCAGUGAACGCGGCCGACAGAGAAACAGUCAACAUCAAACGCUGCUGACGGAGAGAAACCUGCAAAUGAAGCAGAUUCUCACUCGCAGUGUGAGUUAUAACAAACUGCGCAUCAGAAAGAGUUGGGAGACGUUUGUCAGGAUCAGGGAAGCGGACGGA
Molecule: long non-coding RNA, 755 nt
Organism: Sinocyclocheilus rhinocerous
Lineage: Eukaryota; Metazoa; Chordata; Actinopteri; Cypriniformes; Cyprinidae
Exons: 3
Source: RefSeq, a predicted model, not a curated record